RNAcentral lists this transfer RNA (94 nucleotides) under Hypoxylon rubiginosum. RNAcentral's name for it is "tRNA-Thr". It matches the Rfam family "tRNA". Rfam says of the family: Transfer RNA (tRNA) molecules are approximately 80 nucleotides in length. Lineage: Eukaryota; Fungi; Ascomycota; Sordariomycetes; Xylariales; Hypoxylaceae. The record is from RNAcentral.
GCCCGACUAGCUCAUCGGUAGAGCGCCUCACUAGUAGCUUCGUAGAAGAUACAUUGCAAUGAGGAGGCAACAGGUUCGAUUCCUGUGUUGGGCA